GAUCCAGCAACGCCGCGUGAGGGAUGACGGCCUUCGGGUUGUAAACCUCUUUCAGUAGGGACGAAGCUAACGUGACGGUACCUACAGAAGAAGCACCGGCCAACUACGUGCCAGCAGCCGCGGUAAUACGUAGGGUGCGAGCGUUGUCCGGAAUCAUUGGGCGUAAGAGCUCGUAGGCGGUUCAGCAAGUCGGCUGUGAAAGUCCGAGGCUCAACCUCGGAAUUGCAGUCGAUACUGCUGUGACUCGAGUCCGGUAGAGGAGAAUGGAAUUCCCGGUGUAGCGGUGAAAUGCGCAGAUAUCGGGAGGAACACCAGUAGCGAAGGCGGUUCUCUGGGCCGGCACUGACGCUGAGGAGCGAAAGCGUGGGGAGCAAACAGGAUUAGAUACCCUGGUAGUCCACGCCGUAAACGUUGGAUACUAGGUGUGGCGGUCUUACCAACGACUGCCGUGCCGAAGCUAACGCAUUAAGUAUCCCGCCUGGGGAGUACGGCCGCAAGGCUA
This 502-nucleotide ribosomal RNA is filed under the name uncultured Actinomycetes bacterium. RNAcentral's name for it is "bacterial SSU rRNA". It matches the Rfam family "Bacterial small subunit ribosomal RNA", at positions 385 to 896 of the family's 1533-position model. The record is from RNAcentral. Lineage: Bacteria; Bacillati; Actinomycetota; Actinomycetes.